RNAcentral lists this ribosomal RNA (460 nucleotides) under uncultured bacterium. Its description in RNAcentral is "partial 16S ribosomal RNA". It matches the Rfam family "Bacterial small subunit ribosomal RNA", at positions 338 to 795 of the family's 1533-position model. The record is from RNAcentral.
CCUACGGGGGGCAGCAGUGAGGAAUAUUGGUCAAUGGACGAGAGUCUGAACCAGCCAAGUAGCGUGAAGGAUGACUGCCCUAUGGGUUGUAAACUUCUUUUAUAUGGGAAUAAAACGUUCCACGUGUGGGAUUUUGUAUGUACCAUAUGAAUAAGGAUCGGCUAACUCCGUGCCAGCAGCCGCGGUAAUACGGAGGAUCCGAGCGUUAUCCGGAUUUAUUGGGUUUAAAGGGAGCGUAGGUGGAUUGUUAAGUCAGUUGUGAAAGUUUGCGGCUCAACCGUAAAAUUGCAGUUGAGACUGGCAGUCUUGAGUACAGUAGAGGUGGGCGGAAUUCGUGGUGUAGCGGUGAAAUGCUUAGAUAUCACGAAGAACUCCGAUUGCGAAGGCAGUUCACUGGACUGCAACUGACACUGAGGCUCGAAAGUGUGGGUAUCAAACAGGAUUAGAUACCCUGGUAGUC